GUGGGGAAUCUUCCGCAAUGGACGAAAGUCUGACGGAGCGACGCCGCGUGAGUGAAGAAGGCCUUCGGGUCGUAAAGCUCUGUCAUCAGGGACGAACGGCCGGUGGAGUGGAAAGCCACCGGAUUGACGGUACCUGAGAAGGAAGCCACGGCUAACUACGUGCCAGCAGCCGCGGUAAUACGUAGGUGGCAAGCGUUGUCCGGAAUUAUUGGGCGUAAAGCGCGCGCAGGUGGGAUCUUAAGUCCAUUUUUAAAGUUCGGAGCUCAACUCCGUGGUGAGAUGGCAACUGGGAUUCUUGAGUACCGGAGAGGAAAGCGGAAUUCCGCGUGUAGCGGUGAAAUGCGUAGAUAUGGGGAGGAACACCAGUGGCGAAGGCGGCUUUCUGGACGGUGUCUGACACUGAGGCGCGAAAGCCAGGGGAGCGAACGGGAUUAGAUACCCGAGUAGUCC
This 450-nucleotide ribosomal RNA is filed under the name uncultured bacterium. RNAcentral's name for it is "partial 16S ribosomal RNA". It matches the Rfam family "Bacterial small subunit ribosomal RNA", at positions 354 to 796 of the family's 1533-position model. The record is from RNAcentral.